Non-coding RNA from Mycena rosella, 95 nucleotides. NCBI's taxonomy places the organism in Eukaryota, Fungi, Basidiomycota, Agaricomycetes, Agaricales, Mycenaceae. The record is from the annotation of a GenBank genome assembly.
CACCCGAUAGCACACGGCGUGCAUCUGUCUAUCUUAUAUGGACUUUAAGACGAUCAAUAUGAGCAGAAGACCCCGUUCGACUCGGGGUCGGGUGA